AAUGCAUUUUAGGGGUGCCCAGACCGUUUGGUCGGCUGAGAAUAUACCCUUACGAACUGAACCGGACAAUUCCGGCGUAGUCAAAAAUCAAACAAUCUCU
This 100-nucleotide non-coding RNA is filed under the name Prevotella sp. Its description in RNAcentral is "TPP sequence". It matches the Rfam family "TPP riboswitch aptamer (THI element)". From Rfam's summary of the family: Vitamin B(1) in its active form thiamin pyrophosphate (TPP) is an essential coenzyme that is synthesised by coupling of pyrimidine and thiazole moieties in bacteria. The previously detected thiamin-regulatory element, thi box was extended, resulting in a new, highly conserved RNA secondary structure, the THI element, which is widely distributed in eubacteria and also occurs in some archaea. RNAcentral also lists the same sequence under 1 other name. The record is from RNAcentral. Lineage: Bacteria; Pseudomonadati; Bacteroidota; Bacteroidia; Bacteroidales; Prevotellaceae.